AACGUAGGAGGCGAGCGUUAUCCGGAUUUACUGGGCGUAAAGCGUGUGUAGGCGGUACGGUAAGUUGGAUGUGAAAGCUCCUGGCUUAACUAGGAGAGGUCGUUCAAUACUGCCGAACUUGAGGGUAUCAGAGGAGAGUGGAAUUCCGCGUGUAGCAGUGAAAUGCGUAGAUAUGCGGAGGAACACCAAUGGCGAAGGCAAUCCCCUGGGCCUGCACUGACGCUCAUGCACGAAAGCGUGGGGAGCAAACAGGAUUAGAAACCCCUGUAGU
RNAcentral lists this ribosomal RNA (271 nucleotides) under uncultured bacterium. RNAcentral's name for it is "partial 16S ribosomal RNA". It matches the Rfam family "Bacterial small subunit ribosomal RNA", at positions 524 to 794 of the family's 1533-position model. The record is from RNAcentral.